This 7901-nucleotide long non-coding RNA is filed under the name Manihot esculenta (cassava). Its description in RNAcentral is "long non-coding RNA (MESC_LNC011614)". The record is from RNAcentral. Lineage: Eukaryota; Viridiplantae; Streptophyta; Magnoliopsida; Malpighiales; Euphorbiaceae.
GAGGACUAAAGGAUCAUUCAACAUCCAUCCACAUCAUCAUCAAGUUAUGCAAUGCAACAUAUUCGUGAAUUCUAAUGCAUACAACCUAGUAUAUCUCAUGAUAUACGUGAUGCAUGUAUCAUGCUCAAAAUUUACUUAUUUGCUUUGAAACAUAAAGAGUUAUUCCACUCACCUCUGGCUGAAGCUCUAAUGACUCUGAAGCAGCUAUCUCACUGCUGAGGUCCUCGGUUCCUCGGGUCCGAACCUACACAGGUGGACUCAAAUGAGGGACCAAACAUCCAUGAACACGACUCUAAAAUACUCCCCAAAAACCCCCUAAAACACCUUAAAACAAUCAUAGAAAUCAUACAAAGGAGGGCUGAACAGGGCACUUUCGGCGGCAGGUUCGGCGGCCGAAAGGCCCUCUAGAACCGAAAGUCAUGCACCUUCGGCGGCACUUUCGGCGGCCGAAGGUUCCCUCCAGAGACGAAACUCAUGCAUGUUCGGCGGCACCUUCAGCGGCCGAAACUCCCUUCCAGAGCUGAAAGUCCACUUUCGGGGGCAGGGUUCGGCAGCAGAUACAUGCUACCACAGGCAGGUUCGGCGGCCGAAAGAGUCUUUGGCUGCCGAACUUGAGUUCUUCCCAAGGGCAGAAACUCAGCCUCUUACAUGCACAAAAGCCUCCCAACUCAUCCCACAUGCAUUUACUUAUUCUACAAUAUGCAAACUCAAGCCAACAAGCACAUAGGGGUCUCAAACUAACUUAAACCCCAACCAAAACACAUCAAACAUGCAUAUUCUACAUACAUUGUUCAUAAACACACAUUUAACCAAAAACUCAUCAUAAGCCUACCCAUGCAUUUCUACCUCAAGAAACUUCAUAAAACUUGCUUAAAAUAUGAAAUGAACUAUGGAUCUACUCUUACCUCUUGAAGAACGAGAGGAAAGACGACCCUAGCUUGGAGAUGAGGAGAAACCAACUCUUUAGUCUCCAAGCUUCAAAACUUGCUCUUUUGCUCCAAUAUCUUCAAAUCAACAUAAAGCUUGUUAAAACGUGAAAGAUCGGAGGAAAAAUAUAAAAAAUGAACCAUGGGAGAGCAAGAACUCACCGUGGCCGAAAAUGGAGAGAAAACUCGCCUGUUUCGGCCAUGGAGCUCUUAUAUAGGGGCUGCCAGACCACCUUUCGGCAGCCUAAAGUGCCUCCAAAAAUCAUGCAUGUUCGGCGCCCGAACAUGAGGUUCGGCAGCCGAACCUUUGAAACUUUCGGAAGCCUAACUUGCCCCCCCAAAACCAUCCAAUGUUCGGCGGCCGAACCUGGAAAUGCCUCCUUGGUCUUUUUCAUUCAAAACUCAAUUCCUUUCUUGCUUAAAACCAUAAAAUACAUUAAAACAUUUUAUGAAAACAUGGUUUUACCCUUCUAGAGGUUUUCGACAUCCGAGAUUCCACCGGACGGUAGGAAUUCCGAUACCGGAGUCUACCCGGGUAUUACAUUCUUCCCCCCUUAAGAACAUUCGUCCCCGAAUGUUCACCAAACAAACAUAGCAUGGCAUAAAACAUAAACAUUCACAUAAAACACAUAACACUUACUUUAAAAGAGAUGAGGAUAUUGCUGGAGCAUGGACUCCCGUGUCUCCCAGGUACACUCCUCAAUGUUGUGGUGAUUCCAAAGGACUUUCACCAUCGGGAUUUCCUUGUUUCUCAAUUUUCUGAUCUGGGUGUCUAGGAUCUGUACUGGCUGUUCAACAUAAGUGAGAUCCUCUUGGAUCUCUAUAUCAGGCUCACUAAGAACCUUACUCGGAUCUGACACAAACUUUCUUAACAUAGAAACAUGGAAAACCGGAUGGAUUCUCUCCAUUGAAGCAGGUAAAUCUAGCUUAUACGAUACAUUCCCAAUCUUUUGCAAGAUCUCAAAGGGCCCAAUGUACCGUGGAGCUAGCUUACCUUUCUUCCCAAAUCGAAUCACCCCUUUCAUUGGAGACACCUUGAGCAAUACCAAAUCCCCCUCCUGAAACUCUACUUGCCCUCUGCGGAUGUCUGCAUAACUUUUCUGCCUGCUCACAGCAGUCUUGAUCCUUUCUCUGAUUAUGGGCACCACCCUGCUGGUGAUCUCUACUAGCUCAGGCCCUGCCAAGGCCCUUUCUCCAACUUCUUCCCAACAAACAGGUGACCUGCACUUCCUUCCAUACAAAGCCUCAUAGGGAGCCAUCCCUAUGCUAGCAUGAUGGCUGUUAUUGUAGGCAAACUCCACCAAAGGUAGAUGCUGCCUCCAAGAACCGCCAAAAUCCAGCACACACAUUCUGAGUAUAUCCUCUAUUGUCUGGAUGGUCCUCUCUGACUGUCCGUCCGUCUGUGGAUGGAAAGCAAUGCUAAAAUCUAACCUGGUACCCAUAGCAUUCUGCAGACUCCGCCAAAACCUGGAGGUGAACUGGGGCCCUCUAUCAGACACUAUUGAAACAGGAACCCCAUGCAACCUGACAACCUCAUCCACAUAUACUUGCACCAACUUGUCCACAGAAUAGCCACUCUUGACAGGGAUGAAGUGAGCAGAUUUGGUCAGUCUGUCCACAAUCACCCAUAUGGAGUCCAAUCUGUUGGACGCCGCCGGUAGCCCUACCACGAAGUCCAUAGCUAUAUUCUCCCAUUUUCACUCUGGAAUGGGUAGUGGGUUAAGCAUUCCAGCCGGCUUCUGAUGUUCCAGCUUCACCCUCUGACAUAUUUCGCAGGCUGACACAAACUGUGCCACUUCUCUCUUCAUAGCUGGCCACCAAUACACUCUCUUCAGAUCUUGAUACAUUUUGGUGGCUCCAGGGUGAACACUGUAUCUGGCAUUAUGAGCCUCCCUCAUAAUGUCUCCCUUCAGACCUACGUCAUCUGGUACACACAAUCAGCUCCCAUAGCGGAGGAUCCCCUUACUGUCAAAUCUGAACUCUUCAUUCUUGCCUGACUAAACAGUCCUGGCAAUCUUUACUAACUCUGGGUCCUCAUACUAUUUCUGAGUCACCUACUCCAGAAACACGGGUGCCACUCUCAUCUGGGCUAUCAAAGCACCUGUACCAGACAACUCCAACUGUAGACCUUCAUUGAUGAGCUCGAAGAACUCCCUCACUAUUGGCCUCCUCUCUACUGAAAUAUGAGACAAACUGCCAAGUGAUUUCUGGCUUAAAGCGUCUGCCACAACAUUCGCCUUACCCCGAUGGUACUGGAUCUUGCAAUCAUAGUCACUGAGCAGUUCUACCCAUCUUCUCUGCCUCAUAUUCAAUUCCCUCUGACUCAAGAUGUACUGCAGGCUUUUAUGAUCCGUGAAGAUCCCACAUUUUACCCCAUAAAGGUAAUGCCUCCACAUCUUGAGUGCAAAGAUUACCGCUACCAUCUCUAGGUCAUGUGUAGGGUAAUUCAACUCGUGCUUCUUCAGCUGCCUAGAAGCAUAAGCAAUCACCCUUUCAUUCUGCAUUAGCACACAACCAAGUCCCACACGGGACGCAUCACAAUAGACUGAGAAGUCUUCAUUACUAGAUGGCAGAGCGAACACUGGUGCUGAAGUCAACCUCUUCUUGAGCUCCUCAAAGCUUUCUUCACACUGGUCGGUCCACACAAACCUCUGGUUCUUCUUAGUCAGUCUGGUCAUAGGAGCUGCAAUCUUAGAGAAGUCCUGGACGAACCUCCUGUAGUAACCUGCCAAACCCAAGAAGCUCUUGAUCUCUGUCACUAUAGUGGGUCUAGGCCAGUUAGCUACAGCUUCCACUUUCUUGGGGUCUACCUCGAUUCCAUUUUCUGGCACAACGUGCCCCAAGAAUGAAAUGCUCCUCAACCAGAACUCACACUUGGAGAACUUGGCAUACAAGCCGUGUUCCCUCAAGGUCUGCAAGACCAACCUCAGAUGAUGGGCAUGCUCCUCUGCAUUCCUGGAAUACACUAAGAUAUCAUCUAUGAAGACAAUAACAAAGUGAUCCAGGUACUGGCUAAAUACUCUGUUCAUGAGAUCCAUGAAUGCUGCAAGGGCAUUGGUUAAGCCGAAUGGCAUCAUAAGGAACUCAUAGUGCCCAUAUCUGGUUCUGAAAGCUGUCUUCGGCACAUCCUCGUUUCUUAUCCUCAGCUGAUGAUACCCCGAUCUCAGAUCUAUUUUAGAGAAACAACCUGCUCCCGCUAGCUGGUCGAAUAGAUCGUCAAUCCUUGGCAAUGGGUACUUAUUCUUGGUAGUGACCUUGUUCAACUGCCUGUAGUCGAUACAAAGUCUGAGAGAUCCAUCCUUCUUUUUCACAAAUAGCACUGGAGCACCCCAAGGUGAGGUACUCGGUCGGAUGAAGCCUCUAUCUACCAACUCUUGCAACUGCUCCUUAAGCUCUUUCAAUUCUGUUGGCGCCAUCCUGUAGGGAGGGAUAGAGAUCGGUCUAGUUCCAGACAUCAACUCAAUUUCGAACUCUAUCUCCCUAGCAAGAGGUAGGCCUGGCAGCUCGUCUGGGAAAACGUCUAAGAACUCACUGACCACGGGCACUGAGGCGGGCUCUCUAACAUGACUAUCCAGCUCUCUCACAUGAGCCAGAAAACCCUGACAACCCCUCCUGAGUAGCCUACGAGCCUGAAGGGCUGAUAUCAAACCUCUAGGAGUACUCCCCCUGUCUCCUCUGAAGACAACCUCUGACCCAUCCUGACAUCUGAACUUGACUACCUUGUCUCUGCAGUCCAAGAUAGCACCAUGGGUAGAUAGCCAAUCCAUCCCUAGAAUGACGUCAAAAUCUGUCAAAUCUAGAACCACAAGGUCGGCAGAAAGGCAUCUCCCUUCAACAAAAACUGGACUAUACUGGCAGACUGACUCUGCCACUGACGGGUCGCACUUGGGUCCACUGACCCAUAGGGGACACUCUAACCCAGAGACCAUCAAUCCCAACCUCUCGACGGCCCUCGGAGCAGUGAAAGAAUGAGAUGCACCAGGGUCCAUUAAGGCAUAAACAUCUGAGCAACCAAUGAUGAGAUUACCUGCCACCACGGUGUUCAAUGCAUUUGCCUCCUGCUGUGUCAUGGUGAAGAUCCGUGCUGGGGCUGAUGGACCUUCACCUCUGAAACCCGCUGAAGAAGAGGCUGCCCCUCUCCCUCUACCUCUGCCACUAGCCUGAGUCGUGGCUGGAGCUGCUGGCUGAGCCACACUACCAGAAGCUGUCUGCUGAGACUGUGCCAUAAAAGCUGCUCUAGGACACUCCCGAGCCAUAUGUCCCUCCUGCCCACACCUAAAGCAGGCUAUCGUCCCAACCAGACAUACUCCUUUGUGCAGCUUCCCACACUUCCUACAUACUGCAUUAUCUGCACCUGAGCUCGAGCCACUUCCCAAUCCCAGACCUGACUUGAUCUUGCUCCAGAACUUGUUCUUCUUUGGCUUCUUGGUGGUACUGCUCCACCCCUUACUGCCUGAACUCAGAGAAGAAGGGUCUAACUUGCCCCCACCUGGGGUCUUGGAACCAGAAGGCUGUGCCACUGAUUGUUUAACUUUCCCUUCAAUGAUUGCACUAGCCUCCAUCCUCCGAGCCAUGCCCACUAUGGCAUGGAAACUCUCCCUCUCUGUUGACUGAAUCAAGGAGGAAUACCUGGAAUGGAGCCUCAUGAUAUACCUCCUUGACUUCUUCUGAUCUGUGUCCAGAUUCUGCCCAGCAAACGGCAACAGCUCCAAGAAUCUGUCUGUAUACUCAUCCACACUCAUCUCAUCUGACUGCCUCAACUGCUCAAACUCAAUCAUUUUCAACUCCCUUGAACUGUCAGGGAAAGCCCAUCCUACAAACUCAUUUGCAAACUCCUCCCAUGAUAGGCUGUCCAAUCUCGGGUUCACAUAGUUCUUGAACCACUCUCGGGCCUUCUUGCAUUUCAGUGUGAACCCAGCCAUCUGAAUGGCUCUACUGUCAUCAGCUCCUAUCUCAUCUGUAAUCGUUCUGACCCUCUCAAGAUACACAAAUGAAUCAUCACCGGUUUCAAACUGGGGAGCACCCAACUUCAUGUAGUCGGUCAUCUUGACCUUGCUCCCUCCAGAUGAGCUAUGUUUAGGCAUUUGGGUUUCUGGGACAGUAGGUGCUGCUGAUGGUGGAGGAGGUGCAGCAUCCCCUGGGGUAGGGUUUGCUGUACCUGGGUAGAAGGACGGGGGUGGGUACAUAGGAUACUGUGGGUAUGGUGGGUAGAAAGAUGGGUAUGGCAUGUGAGAAGGGUAAGGAUUAAAACUGGGGUAAUCCGAUGUACCUCCCAUCAAAUACCCGGGAUGCUGAGAAAAGGGUGGGUACUGGGGUGGCUGAACAAAUCCCGAUGCCUGAGUGCCUCCUUGGGACUCUCCCAUGCCCUCUCCAGACAUACUUACUCCAAGGCUGCCAUCCCUCCUCUGAUCCACAUCCAUAUCAUCCCCCACAUCCUCUGACAUUCCUCCUUGAACUGUUCCCCUUACUGAUCUACUUCUGUUCAUAUCCAAAGACCUUCUAGGGUCUCUCACUGCUCUUUCCCUGCUAGAUCUGCUAGACAUUGCCCUUGGCAAUGCAGGGGGACGGGCACUCAUGCCCUCAUCCUCCGGUAGUACUCCAGUCAAUCGUGCAGAUCGACGAGUUCCUCUCAUCCUGUUUACUGAAAAACAGCACACAUCACAUAAACAUUAGCAUCAAAUGGUUCAUGUGCCAACACAUGAACCCGCAUCACAUACAUCACAUACAUAGCAUAUCAUUAAUGCACAUGCAUAUAAUCAUGGCAUUUCACAUCAUCAUUCAAGACAGGACUCUAGAUCCUAUCCUAGUGGACAUGAUUUUCCUAUUGUGCUUGACCUUCUAGAACAUCUAUGAGCCCGACACUCUAGGUCCGACCAUAUGAACCUAGGGCUCUGAUACCAAUCUGUAACAACCCGAAAUCCGGACCGCUACCGGCGCUAGGAUCCAGAUCGGCUUAAGGCCGCUGGGACCCGUAGCAAGCCUAACAUACAUCCUGUAUACCUGUUUAAUCCCAUACAUGAUCAACAAUUACAUAAAAAUUUAAAACUUUUUCAUUUAAUCAUUCAUUCACUCAUUUAUUCUUUCAUUCAUUCUUUCAUUCCUUCACCAAGCUUAACCUGUGCAUGCACAAAUCAUAACAUAAAGCCUCACACUGGAGUCCUCAUCAAAUACUCCAAUGGGGUAACAUAACAUACAUUAAGCUUGGUUUACAAUAAUCAUCAUUAAACAUUUAAGAUCAUGUACUAGAAAGGGAUUAACAUUCAUACUAUGGUCAAGCAUAACUCUAAACUUCCAUAAGCAUUAUUACAUUACAUUUCUAUACUAUACUUUUACAUUACAUCAUAUUCAUGUCCACAUCUAGCUAUUACAAUAACAUAACUCUACUCCUGCUGACCUCCUGGUCUACCCUGUACCUGCAAACCUAGGGGUUAAGGGAGAGGGGUGAGCUAUAAAGCCCAGUGAGCAGAAUAAUAACAUAUUCAAUUUAUAUUUUCAUGCUUUCAUGAAAUGCAACACAGCACAAACAAAUCACAUCAAGGAUGGACCUGUCACCAAUAGUCCUCUAUAUAGUCCAAUCGUGCCAGGGGUGUAGAAUGGGCCUCACUAGUCUUUCUCUUAACAUAACAUAACAUAACAUAACAUUCCAUAGUGCCAGGGGCGUAGAAUGGGACUCACUGGUCUUUCUCUUAACAUAGUGCCAGGGGCGUAGAAUGGGCCUCACUGGUCUUCCAUACCGUAUCAUCAUCAUAACAUAUCAUACGAGGACUAAAGGAUCAUUCAACAUCCAUCCACAUCAUCAUCAAGUUAUGCAAUGCAACAUAUUCGUGAAUUCUAAUACAUACAACCUAGUAUAUCUCAUGGUAUACGUGAUGCAUGUAUCAUGCUCAAAAUUUACUUAUUUGCUUUGAAACAUAAAGAGUUAUUCCACUCACCUCUGGCUGAAGCUCUAAUGACUCUAAAGCAGCUAUCUCACUG